Molecule: small RNA, 27 nt
Filed under: Bombyx mori (domestic silkworm)
Lineage: Eukaryota; Metazoa; Arthropoda; Insecta; Lepidoptera; Bombycidae
Description: ovarian small RNA-31782
Source: RNAcentral
UGACGGUAGCGUGGGGCUUAGCCUCAA